GAUGAACGCUGGCGGCGUGCCUAACACAUGCAAGUCGAGCGAAAAGACGAGGAGCUUGCUCCUCUGACGUUAGCGGCGGACGGGUGAGUAACGCGUGGAUCACCUACCUCUCUGUCUGGGAUCAUUUCGGGAAACCGGAGCUAAUACCGGAUCAUAUAUUGAACCGCAUGGUUCAAUAGUGAAAGACGGCUUUGGUGUCUGUUAUAGAUGGAUCCGCGCCGCAUUAGCUAGUUGGUAAGGUAACGGCUUACCAAGGCGACGAUGCGUAGCCGACCUGAGAGGGUGAUCGGCCACACUGGAACUGAGACACGGUCCAGACUCCUACGGGAGGCAGCAGUAGGGAAUCUUCGGCAAUGGGCGAAAGCCUGACGGAGCAACGCCGCGUGAGUGAUGAAGGUCUUCGGAUCGUAAAACUCUGUUAUUGGGGAAGAACAAAUGUGGAAUGAAACAUGCACGUCUUGACGGUACCUAAUCAGUAAGCCACGGCUAACUACGUG
RNAcentral lists this ribosomal RNA (497 nucleotides) under uncultured bacterium. RNAcentral describes it as "partial 16S ribosomal RNA". It matches the Rfam family "Bacterial small subunit ribosomal RNA", at positions 28 to 507 of the family's 1533-position model. The record is from RNAcentral.